UCUCUCUCUCCCUCUGAAAACUGGGUGUCUAGAAUUAAAUACAAGUAAUUUAGUUCCACUGUACACACCAUUCUUUGCAUGCCCUCUGCAUGCUAUUCUCCAGAUCUGCACUAGAGGGAGUUACAUCCAUCUACUACAAAUGGUCAAGACAUGGAUAACUAGACUGUCAAAUAUUAUUUUAGUGAAUACUGCAUUAUGUUAUUGUGCUGGCUGUUGAUAGACAACAGUUGUUUACUAUACAUCUGGCCCUGAUGUAUGAGAAAAUACCACAUAUUGACAAUGUAUUUUAGGUGAUUAGGCAAAGAGUGUGCAGUUUUUGAGGUAUAUGUGUGUAAAUAAACUGAAGGACAAACGGUUGGGACCUGUGGAGUAUCUGGGUAGUAAUGACUGUUCAGGUAUGCCAUCAAAUGCUGUGGAAGAGAGCAAGGGGAAGAUAUGAACAUAACACAAAUGUGCAAGACGAACACAGAUUUCAGUCAUGACACUUCUUUUCCCUCAGGCCUAUCAUAUAUUAUCUUAACUGUUCUCACUGGAUUCCUUACAAGUAGUUCUUCUGAUGGUGAGUCGACGAGGUUGGUAUGCACUGUCAGGAAGACGCUCAACUUUCCCUUCAACAAAAUGCUUUGGUUUGCAGAGAACCUGAUAAACAACAGUCACCACAGUUAUGGAUAUCACAAUAAGGAUGAGACCAAACCACACACGUUUACUUUCAUUUCCUGGAUGAGAGAGUAAAGAAAAGAAGUUAGUUCCAAUUCUCCUCUGUGUUCCCGGCAUGGAGAUGUUUUAACUUGAUACUUGUUAAGGCAGCCUGUAGGGACUGCUUUAUCUUGGUACUUAAUUUUUUUAAGUAAACAUGAACAUGAAAAGAUGCCUAAUGAAAAUAGGCACAACAAAAAAAAGAAUAAUCACUAAACAAUACAGGAGGGGGCGGCAUCUCCUUUUAUCUGUAUCUUUCGAGGAGUGGACAAUCAAGUACUAUGGCCCAGCACCGCCCACUGCCCUCACAGUGAGAGAAACCUUUUAGGCCUUCUCACCAUUCGAUAUUAAUAUCUUGUCACCGUGAUCUAAUCACAGUGAUGGGAUGAUGACAGAACUGUGCUUGUACUUGAGUCAUUUCUUCAUUAACCAGAGCCUGCAUUCUCAACAGGUUGAUGAGUAUAUACUCACUACCUUCCAUCUGAUGAGGGCAAUAAAAGGAUGCGGUCUGAUUGUUUCGCUGAGCAUGCAGGAAACAGUGACUGACACCGGAGAAUGGAUGUGGAGGAGUGGUGUUCUGUAAGAGGUUCUGGGUGUUGUUGUUGGGGGUCACACAGCAGUGAAAGAGCCCCUGAAGAUGUUCUGAGCUUCUUAUAAAAGAGCUGGCGUUUUCCAAUUGAUGGUGCACGGUCACAUUAUGUGCUGAGGGACUGUCAACCCGGACAGACAGAGACACUUCCAGGUGUGUC
This is a long non-coding RNA of Clupea harengus (Atlantic herring), 1445 nucleotides long. The record is from Ensembl. NCBI's taxonomy places the organism in Eukaryota, Metazoa, Chordata, Actinopteri, Clupeiformes, Clupeidae.